RNAcentral lists this ribosomal RNA (481 nucleotides) under uncultured bacterium. Its description in RNAcentral is "bacterial SSU rRNA". It matches the Rfam family "Bacterial small subunit ribosomal RNA", at positions 29 to 507 of the family's 1533-position model. The record is from RNAcentral.
UUAAACGCUGGCGGCAUGCCUUACACAUGCAAGUCGAACGGCAGCACGGGGAACCUGGUGCGAGUGGCGAACGGGUGAGUAAAAGCAUCGGAACGUGCCCUGGAGUGGGGGAUAACGUAGCGAAAGUUACGCUAAUACCGCAUAUUCUGUGAGCAGGAAAGCAGGGGAUCGCAAGACCUUGCGCUCUGGGAGCGGCCGAUGUCGGAUUAGCUAGUUGGUGGGGUAAAGGCCUACCAAGGCGACGAUCCGUAGCGGGUCUGAGAGGAUGAUCCGCCACACUGGGACUGAGACACGGCCCAGACUCCUACGGGAGGCAGCAGUGGGGAAAUUUUGGACAAUGGGCGCAAGCCUGAUCCAGCCAUGCCGCGUGAGUGAAGAAGGCCUUCGGGUUGUAAAGCUCUUUCGGCCGGGAAGAAAUCGCAUGGGUCAAUACCCUGUGUGGAUGACGGUACCGGAAUAAGAAGCACCGGCUAACUACGUG